GACGAACGCUGGCGGCGUGCUUAACACAUGCAAGUCGAACGGAAAGGCCCUGCUUUUGUGGGGUGCUCGAGUGGCGAACGGGGGAGUAACACGUGGGUAACCUGCCCUUGACUUUGGGAUAACUUCAGGAAACUGGGGGUAAUAACGGAUAGGAUUUCCCGCUUGAGGGUGGGGGUGGGAAAGUUUCGGCGGUUGGGGAUGGACUUGCGGCGUAUCAGCUUGUUGGUGGGGUAGUGGAUGACCAAGGCUUUGAAGGGUAGCCGGCCUGGGAGGGUGACCGGCCACAUUGGGACUGAGAUACGGCCCAGACUCCUACGGGAGGCAGCAGUGGGGAAUAUUGCACAGUGGACGGGAGCCUGAUGCGGCAACGCCGCGUGCGGGAUGACGGCCUUCGGGUUGUAAACCGCUUUCGCCUGAGACGAAGCGUGAGUGACGGUAAUGGGUAAAGAAGCACCGGCUAACUACGUG
RNAcentral lists this ribosomal RNA (468 nucleotides) under uncultured bacterium. Its description in RNAcentral is "partial 16S ribosomal RNA". It matches the Rfam family "Bacterial small subunit ribosomal RNA", at positions 28 to 507 of the family's 1533-position model. The record is from RNAcentral.